GGAAAGCCUGUGCGCCGCUGCUGAACACCUCGAUGUCGCCGCCGGGAUGCCUCUCGGCCGUCUCCACCGCCCAUCUAUCGUCGCUGCCGCCGCCGCCGAUGGCGGCGGUCGGCCUCGGCGGGGCGAUGACCGGGUGCAGCCGCCUUCUAUCGCCGCUCCACCGGAGGAGCAGCAGGAAGAGACACGUGGUUCGGAUGGCGCCGGAGGAGGAGAAGAUCACCCGCCGUUCCCCUCUCGAUUUCCCCAUCGAAUGGGAACGCCCUAAGCCAGGCCGGAGACCCGAUAUAUUCCCGCAGUUCAGCCCGAUGAAGUCACCACUGCCCACUCCACUGCCAGCAGAUCCUCCUGAGGAGGACGAGGAGGAGGAAGAAGAAGAGAAGAAAGAGGAAGAAGAG
RNAcentral lists this unclassified non-coding RNA (395 nucleotides) under Hevea brasiliensis (rubber tree). Lineage: Eukaryota; Viridiplantae; Streptophyta; Magnoliopsida; Malpighiales; Euphorbiaceae. The record is from RNAcentral.